CAAGACCAGUCUCUGGCAUUCCAUUUAAAGAGGGAAACUGGAAAGAUUAUUAGAAUU
RNAcentral lists this small RNA (57 nucleotides) under Euplotes focardii. Its description in RNAcentral is "partial Mitochondrion-encoded tmRNA". The record is from RNAcentral. Lineage: Eukaryota; Ciliophora; Spirotrichea; Euplotida; Euplotidae.